GCUGAACAAUAUUUUCUUUUUCAUAAACUGGUCCCUGGGAUUUUGAACUUCAAAUACCCACCCUUCUUAAUCUCUGAAAAUGAAGUGCAAUUAAGCGUUGCUGUUGUUAACUUCACAGGUUCCUUCUUUCCUCUCUCCAGGAUUUAAUUAAACCAGAGGAAAGUUGAGGCUUUGGCACUAAUGAAUCACCUGCUUAAAACCCCCAGUUCUCAUCCAUAGCGCAGAUCCAAAAUAGAGACGGGGUGGAGCCGAGUGUUGUUUACCCUGAUGAAUUCCCCUUCCUUUUAUUGGGGAAAACACAUGAUGGGGAGGCUGACUCCUCUGUUGAAGCUCUGUGGGAACCAUGUGGGUGGCCUCUUCCAUUUCAUGGGCUCCCGUCCCAAAACCUCCAGCGAUGUCCUUGUUAGAAUUGUUCUAGAAAGAUAGGCGAUAAUGACCAUGAAUUUAGAAAACUAUGGUGGUGGUAUGUUUUAAUGGAAAGCUGCGAAACUCCACUUCCUGGCCCCCUCUGGCUUUUAAGGGCUCCCAUGGUUGUGGGUCUGAAACUGAGCCGAUGGCUGAGCCCAGCCUUCUCGGUCCAAAGCUCAGGCUGUCCUUUCCCACCAUUUCCCUUUCUUGCCUCCUUGAUCCGGGGUUCAAGACAAUUCAUAAAGGCUCCCCCUGUCUUUUUCAUGGCGACUUAGCACAGCUGCUUUCCACUUUCUGUUCCUAAAAGGCGGAGGGGGGGGGAACACCCCAUUGCUGGGCAAAUGUUUAAGGCCAUUCUUGUCUGGUGAAGUCAUCGCUGGUGGCUUUUCCUGUAAUAAGAGGCCUUGCAAAUAAAUAAAUGAAAGGGAAGCUUUUAUCCCAGGGAAGGGAAGGGGGGUGUCAGCCAGUCCUCCAGCACAGCUGCCUCCAGAGAGGGAAACCUCCCCCUUUAGCUUUAGUCUGGGUUAGUAUUUCCACAUGGGGUUCAUUAUUCCUUGCCUCUUCUCUCCCCCCCUAAAAUUUUAAUCCAGCAUUUGAUUGAAAGUCUUCCCUGUUUGACGGUCUGCUUUCUUUCUUUCUGAUAAGCAGAAGUCAAAAGCAGAAAUAAGACCUGUGUCAGCCAGCUGUUCGGGGAACUGGCCUUCCAGAUCUAGCAGACUCCAUUGUCAAAUAAUGGGAGUUUUCUGUCUGAAGUUCCUCUCCAAGAGCCAUUCAGAAGGAGCCGUUUCAAUUCAUUGGGGGGUUUCUUUGCCAGUUCCUCCUUUGCUCUUCUUCUCUGCAAUAUCCCUUUUAGCAUCUCACAGCCUGCUUCCUCAGCUUCACAAAGGCUAGUUGCACAACACACAAAUCCUCACUGACCAGCCACAAGUGCCUUCCCCUAAUAUUCCAAGUCACAAACGGCACAUGGGGUGAAGCACCCCAAAGGUUCAGAGGGCCAGGCCCCAAAAGAUACAACCUGCCAUGAUUUUGUAGUUUUUUUCUGAUCUUCCAGCAACUUUUGGACUGGUGACACCCUUUUCUUCACCUUCUGGGGUAGAGUUAAAGAAAAUAGUUGGAUUUUUCUACUUCUGCCUGGCUCCUGGCUGAAAGUUGCCAGCAGCAUCCAGAUGUUUUGUAGGACAAAAGUUAUUGGGGGGGGGUGUUCCUUUCCAGGAAGCGAUUAGCAAGCAAUCUCCCCGUGUGACUUUUAAGCCUUUUUCCAAAUAGCGAAGAGAUGGGAUGGGACUUCCAGCUAUCCUUGCGUCCUUAGAAAGAAGAACUAUUCAUUGAGUAACCAUCAAAGUCUUUCAAAGGAAAAACACAGCCCAGAAAGACUGACUGAGGCUUUGAAGGUUUCCAAAAGGGUCUCUGGGCAGACAGCAUUGUACAGCCCUGAACUCCUCCUUCAAUCCUGUCUAAGGUCUCAAAAGAGACGCUGCUUUCCUGGGUGGCUGUGAAAUCUGUUUUUGUGUGUAUAAUUAACAGGCAGACUUGCUGGGAGGUUGGGAAAUGAACCUGGGCUGUUUUCUUGGAGUUGUGUUGCUGCUUUUCCAGUGACCGGGCCUUCCAUUAGCGCCCCACCCACCCAACCUUACUUCAAUAUGGCCAGAUCCUGACAGCCUCCUUUGGGUUUUUAAAAAUCUCUUCCUCCUUGGAAAUCCGCACAUCUGUUUAAAGAUGCUCCUGAGAGCAACCCACUUUUCCUUUUUUCUUGGACAAACCUGGGAUCUCCUUGUCGCCAGAUUUUUCAGCCAAGCGAUCACAUGCGGGUGCAAGAUCACCAGGGAGAUAUCCAUGGAAAACGAUGGAUCCAAUUAAGGAAAUGGAAGAGCGGAAUCUAUUCUCUGUUAAGCCAUAAUUGUCUGGGUGUACACAGCACACGGAGCGAUAAAAACAGCCUUAUCAGCCACAGUGGGCAAUUCUUGUGACCUUGCCCUGUGUUCCUUCCACAUAUUCCCAAUAUAAUGUCAUAAAUUCAUUAAACUUUUCACAGUUGCCCAGGGGCAAAGUGCCACCGAGUGAGCCCAGUUCACUGCCUUUAUCACCAGAUGCGAUAUUUGACCAUAUCUGAACUUUGCUGGGAACCGAAACUCUCUUCUCCCUUGGUCCCUCCCAAACAUAGCUUGCAAAAAUGCCAAGUUUUGGAUUCGUUCCCUGCUAUGAGAGAAAUAAAACUUAUUAUGGUUGUUGUUUUAGCGUUUCUUCCCACGGAAAAAGGUUUUUCUUCCUUAAGCAAAUGGAUUCUUCCUAAUCUGAGAAUGCCCUGAAGAAUUUGCAGUUAUUCAGGGUUAAAGUCCUUGCUGAACAGGCAGUCUUUUGUCUGGAUGUUUUCUUCUUUCUAUUUUGCUUUAACGUCUUUUUCCCCCUUCUUCUUUGAAAUUGGAGACGGGGAAAAUGCAGUGCAGGCCACAAAGUGCUGAUAGGGUUAUCUAGGCACCUUGUCCUUGAAUCGCUGAAGCAAAAUGAUAGCCCCACAAUUUCCUUCUUGUGUAUUGCCCUUUAGUGCGAAAAAUCUGAAAAACCUCCAUGAAGCUCUUACAAGGAGAGAGGAUUUUCUCCACAAAGAUGAGGGCGGGGGAAAAAAAUAGCCAUUUUGGAUCACAUUUUUGCCACUGGGCCUGUUCGGAAGGGACAUUUGUCUGAAUUUCUAAGAAAUGGAGUCCCAACACAACCAGAUUUUGAGAAAAACAUCUCGCUAGAAUGAAACACUGAAGGAUCAAAUUGGGACUGUUAAAAAAACACAUCAUUCCACAACUGUGCAUUAAAUCCCUUUUAAUUCACUGAAGGUUGUUUGUGCCAGGCGGGGCCCCAACUUAGACCUCUGUAGAGAAAGCCUGAGAAACUUAAGGAGAGUUUAGUUGGGCACGACUAAUUAAAUACUAGGAUCAAUGGCUGGCAGUUGUGAUAUUUUAAUAGGCUCCAAGUUGAUACUCACGAACUGAAAGAAUUUCUUAACACAAUAGGGCCCUUUCCUCAUCUCUGCCCAUCCUUUUCAUGUCUCCCACCUAGUGGGAGUUUGCAAAAUAAUAAUUAGGACGGCAAUGUGGAAGGCAGAUAGUAAUUUACAAAACCCUGCAAGCGUCCUAGGGAUUGUACCAAAUACGUCAGCCUGACAGAGAAGCCACCUUUCUCCUACAGGCCGGCUGUCAGGAUCGAACUUGUUUUGCAGACUUGAGCGAUACCAAAAAAAACAAAACAAAAAACGUGCUGCCAUUCGUGGUCUUUGUACCCCAGGGGUUUAACAAAACGUUGCUCCUUCCGAAAUUUGGACGGUUAUUUUUCAGAGAAUGAAUUAAGCCUCAGCCUUUCCUUGAAUUUACAGGAAUUAGAAGAACAUCUUUUUCUUAGAAGUUUUUAAGCAACACAGGAAGACAACACGACGUUUCAUUUCGGGGAACCGUCUCAAAGAAGCUUAUCAGCCAGACCCAGGAGGCCCCUACUAGGAAGAGAGGAGAGGAGAGGAAAGAGGGCCCAGCCAGAUUGUGGGCACCAUGACGCUGCAGGAAACUCACAAACGGCUCAAGAUGGCAGCAGUUCGGUGUGCUCAAAAGUAUUAAUGGGCACAGGUGCCAUCGUUCCUUGCCAACAGGCUGAGGCCGGAAGGAGCCGAGCGCUCCAAAAAGGCCCUCUUAUUUCCUGUGACUCAGGAAAUGCAAAGCUUCAAAAGUUCCGAGCUUCGCUGUGCUUCCUACCCCCCGAGUGGGUUUCUUUCUCGGUUUCAUGCGAGUUUCUUCUCCGCUUUUGCUCCUUAAUUGCAAAGAUGACGCGUUGGGAGAAAGAGGAACAAAACAGACCACAGCUAGGAUCACACAAUUGUGAGCUUGCAGAGUUGCUGAGGGUCAUCUUAGAAGUUGCCAAGUCUGAAAACAAUCGAUGAGUCUUGGUCUGGAUGUCCUUGCUCCUUUCUGUGGCAGCCCGAGAGAGAAAUGCAGUGGGGUGGCCCGGCCUGAUGCCAGCCAGUAAAAAUUCAAUCUAAGGCGAAAAGAUGCCCUUGAAUCGAACAAUUGUGCCAGGAGAGAAGUGGUUUGCGCUGGCUUCACCCGAGACCUGUUUUCAGUCUACAAGCUGUGAAUGGAACUGAAAAUACAGCUGUGGGGUGUCGUACACAAAUUAAGCACUUGGCUGCAAUAAAAGCUGUGCCUUGCUGCAAUGUUGACCUGGGUUCUUAGCACAGGCUGGUUGUGCCUGUGUGUGUGUAGGUGUAACAUUUGCCUACCUGGCCCAUUUAGGCAUAAAUGCCCCUCUCCCCCAAUGAUGUCCCCUUCCUCUGCACGUAGGCAGAAGGACCCCUUCCCACUUAUGACCACGUGAGGACUAGAAUGCAACCUAUGUGAGCCUGGAGAUUAAUUGGGAGUGAGGGUCCUGCAAGAGUUGCUUUCCCUCCCCCCUCAGCCAAGGACCCUCAUUUCCCCUGGGGAGGGGGAUUUAUUUGCUCUCUGCAGGGACCCUCCUCUUAACAUGGGUUUGUUCUCUGCCUGCGUUCCUCGUCUCUAAACUUUGCAAAGUUUACAGAGCAGUAAUGCCUCUAGUGCCUGUGUGUUUAUGUGUGUGUGUGUGUGUGUGUGGUUGUGUGUACUUUAUAUCCUGUUCUCCAGAAAAGAAACUUAAGACAAACUUCCUCCACCAAGGAGGCGUGGCUGAUUUGAGACCCACGGGGCCGAUUAUUAUUUUGAAAUCGAUUUAUCCUGUGUCACUCAUGCCUUCGGUUGGAUUGCUGAUCCUACGGGAUUCUCAUUGGGUGAUUUGUAUUUGUAAAUACCACCAAAAAUAACUUCAAUUUAGACUGGUAUGGUGCACAGACUGAGGCUGUUUUCGUUAGCAGAUUUUUAUUGCGGCAUGUGGGCGAAAGUGGGUUAUUUCUGGUGCCAACAUCAUCUCCUCUCUAUUUGAUCUGUUAUAAUCAGUUUCUAUAGUCUGCAAAGUCAGGUAGGAAUUGAAAUAACCAUUCUGGGCCUAAAUGCCCCAAUAUUACCCUCUCUUAUUUCCUGCACCAUUUUGUCUUUUUCAGUUUCUUCCUUAAAUCUCGUCCCGUCUCCCUUUCCCUCCCUGAUUCACAAGGCUUGUGCGGGACUUAGAAGUCUCAUGCUUAAGCUGGCACAAACACCACCUGCUCUCUGGGCCAAUGAGGAAUGAUUCAUUGCCCCGCAGAACAAUCUGUUUCCUCCAUGCACAAAUAUUUGGGUUUGCUGUUGGCAAUGGGAGGGAAACUCCUUCCUUCCUUUUCAAAAAACACGAGAGGAUCUCGGGAUGCCUGUUUGUUUCUGUGGCCUUCAAGCAGCGGUAAUAUAACCGAAAUGUGGUUGUUGAGUGGGAAAAAAAAGAAAAAAAGCUGGAUUUAGAAUGGGGAGUCCCUGCCCCGGAUAAUCCUUCCCCGGGUACUGACUCAACCAUAGCUUCAUCUAGCAAUUUGUCACCCCAGAGGUUGGCAAAGCAGUCGGUUCAGCCAGGUAUGGAGAAGUGGGCUUAAGCACGCCUGGGUACACCUGCCGUCCUCGUCCCCUCCUUCUCCUCUCCCUCUCUGUCUCUCUCUGUAUGUGUGUUCUUCAACUCUCAUCCCCAGCAUGCUCAGCCAGGGUACAAGGGAGCCAGCAAAGAGGACGGAUGGGGCAUCCUGUGUCCAAAGGGUGGAUGGUCCAGGACAAAUUUAGGAUCCAGAACAAAUUUAGGCAAUAAAUUGGAGGUUGCAACUGAAGCCAACUUUUGUACAGCCACCAUGGGUCUUUCCUUGCUGCACGCUCAGUUGUUUGUUGUACCCAGGCCUCUGUAUUUUUUCUCUCUCAGUGGUGCGCAAGGAACCCAGCCAUUGGUGGCUUGUUCUACAAACCCUAGUUAAGCCAGGAUUUGGUGCCUAAACCAACAAACCGCAGAUUCCUGCUUGGACGUGCAGUAGACGGCUUUAAAGGAGCUCCUUGGAAGGGUUUGCUGAGGGCCUCCGGAAUUAGAAAUCGGGAGGCAAAACCUGCCUCUGACACAAUCAAAGUGCCCUUAAAGGACCCAUCUUGGGCGACUCCUAUUUUUGAGGGGUCUCUCCUGGUUUUCAAGAGGCACGAUCCUGUGUGGGGUCCCUCUGAGAGGAGAUGCUUUUCCAAGGCUGCCUCUGAUCCGAGGUUGGAUUCCAGUCUCCCCCCCACGCUGAACUAUCGCGGUGCAACUUCAGAUGCUCCGUGACGAGGAAGCUCAGGAAGUCGCUGUGGGCAAGAUACGGAUUUUCUGCGAAACGCUUCUGCUGCAUCCGGCCCUGUUGCUGGGCAGAAAAUCCAGGCAGCCGGCCGAGCGAAGCAGCUCGGCCAAGGAGCUCCUUCCCCUUUGGAUUUUUCCACAGGAGGUGGUUUUUUUUUGGGGGGGGGGGGCUUGCUGUGACUCAUGAGCAUGAGGACUAGGAAACUCAGCUGGCCUUGUAAAAACCAUAACUGUCUCCCUUUUGUUUUGACCUUGCCUUAAAAGUACGCCACUGACACCAUUCCUACAUUUCUAACAGACUUUUAAAUCUGCAAGCAAUUCUGAAGGCAGGAAGCACAAGAGUCUCUUGUCCUGUGCUGAAGGCUCCUUCUUUCUUCCCCUCCCUCCUUCCCUCUUCCCCUUUAAUCCUUCCUUCCUUCCUUCCUUCCUUCCUUCCUUCCUUCCUUCCUUCCUUCCUUCCUUCCGAAUCCCACUCAAUUCUGCUUCGUUUGGCCUUCACCCUUAUUUCAGUCGCAGGGCUUAGAAAAGGGCUACCAUGUUGGUAGUCCGGUGGAUUUUAUCCCGUCUUUCCAAGCGAAGAAGGAGGGAUGGCCAAGGCCAAGAGACAGGAAAGCCGUUUCCCUUGAACCCUGCUUGCGUUGUUUUCCUGUGGAGGUGGGGGUGGGGUGGGAUUCCAGUCGAAGAAAAUUCUGGACAUUAAAUGUUCUCUGAGCCUGACUGCCACAGUGCCCUGUCUGUGGGGCUUUCCUUGAUGACUCUGCUUGAGUAAAAAAUAGGUUGGAGUUUAUAACCUCCAGCCAGGAAGUGCUGUCUGGACAAAUACAUAAAAAUGGGGGGGGGGGUUUUGCAACUGGCUACCUUCAUUCAAGAGUCAGCAUUUGUCCAAAAUCCACUUCCUUUUGGCAAGCUUUGCUUCUCCCCCAGCUGUCUGCGCCUCUUUUUGGCGUGAAAUGAGGAAAGAAGCGAGAGGGCCAGUUUCAGCCGGAAGGAACCCAAAUCGGAUGUGAAGCAGGAAGCGUUUUGGAAAGAGGAGCCCAGAAGCACCUUCGGGCUCUCCUUGGCCUGGCAGCCACCCUUCAAUGGAGGCCCAUGGGGCUUGCCCUGAAUCUUUCUCAGGCCCAGGCCGUGGGUGGGGAAUGCCCCGGCCCUCCUGGGGAAUGGGAAGAACAAAAGUUGGUAUUUGCUUUCCUGGUUCCUCCCAGGAGGACUUUGGAUUGGCUAAUGUAAGGCAGAGAUUGAGAGAGGGGAUUUGAGUCUUUAGCCCCCCACCUUCCCAAGAAUCUAGAGAAAGGCAGACUCAUCUUUGGGAGAGUCUCCCCUUUCACCCAAUAAGGAUCAAGUUUCUAGCUCCCAUUGUCCGAAGGAUAUCUUUGGUGCCACUCCCACUCCCUUUUUUUUAUUAAAAAAACAAAAACCGCAUAGUGUUGUUCUCUGGCACGGCCGUCUGGGCAACCUUGAGGCACAAGGAUCCCCGAGUCAUUCAGAGCUGGAAACGAUACGUUCUCGGCCACACACACGGUGCUGUGGGGACCCGGAAGUCCUCCCUUCCAGCGGACCUUGCGCUGCACAAGGACUCUGCAAAGCCCACAACCCAGCAGGCUGGGCCUGCUAAUUUGACAGAAAGGCUCCAUGCUGGUUUGCACGCUCGCCCCAGCCAGCCCUGUUUGAUCUGGCCACUUUCAAAAGCAUGGAAUCGAGUUCGUUCUCCUUUCAGUCUUGCACAAUCACAGCUGGUGUGUGUGUAUAAGGUUGCGAUGCCUGGAUUUAGCAGCAUGGAGGAGGAGCUAAGGUUCCUUUUAAAUCUCUGCUGAAUGCACAGUCAUGAGGACUAGGAUCUUGACGCUGAGGGGUUUGUGUGAAGGCUCUCCACUUUGAAGAGGACGGGAUUGGAAGGAAGCUGAGAAUUUUUUAAAAAUAAACACCUUAAUUGUUUUACAAUCUAUGGUCUCAGGCCAUUUGUAGGCCUCUUUCUUUCCACUUGGGCCUCACUCUGCUCACCCUCGUCAGAAUAUCGCCGUGUCCUUGGAGAUCUCCCGGAUUCAGGAAGGAAUCCACCUUUUCUGGCAGAUCCAUGAGAACUUGGAGCCAUCCCAAGCCAGCCUGGUGAAAACCUCACUCAAGCCUGCCCAAACGAGAUCUUCGAUUGGUGCCAAAGUGGCAUCUUCUCCCCUUAAAAAUCCCCUUCUGGGGAAGUUGCCCAGCUCUGAACUGGAAAAGAAAAAUAUUCAGCAACAGUCCAAAAGUAAGCGUUGGGGUCCCGUAUGGCUGGAGAAGCAUUACAGUUUUGGAAAUGAUGCCUUGUGAGCUGCACUAAAUGAUCCUGUUCAGGACUUGGCUAAAUCAGGUUUAGACACCCGCUCCUGGUUAGCAGAUUCCCCCCACCUUCUCUGUAUGUCUGGUGGAGCUCAUUCCUAGCAUUUUUCUCCGCUUGGUUGUUAGCAAGGCAACUUAAAAAAAGCCUCAUUGUUCUUGCAGAACCUGGGUGAUUCACACACGUUGUACUCAAAGGGGGGUUAGUCAGGCCUCAGUCAUCUUCCUUCCUGAAGGAACUCGUGGG
This is a long non-coding RNA of Ahaetulla prasina, 9184 nucleotides long. RefSeq lists it as uncharacterized. Lineage: Eukaryota; Metazoa; Chordata; Lepidosauria; Squamata; Colubridae. The record is from RefSeq and is a predicted model, not a curated record. The transcript is spliced from 3 exons.